RNAcentral lists this unclassified non-coding RNA (402 nucleotides) under Hevea brasiliensis (rubber tree). Lineage: Eukaryota; Viridiplantae; Streptophyta; Magnoliopsida; Malpighiales; Euphorbiaceae. The record is from RNAcentral.
CGGAAACCUAUUCCUCUCCAGCCGCUCCCGUGAGGAAGAAGAAUCCCAAUGGCGGAAGAGAAGCAGCAGCCGGCGGCGGCGGUAUCGUUGCCCCGGAAGUACGAUCUGGACGCCAAAUGGGACGCCUGCCUCGACAUCACCAUCCGCCGAUUUGUCUACUCCUCCGUCGCCGGCGCUUUCGGCGGCCUCCUCCUCUUCCGGAGUCCAGCGACCCGAUGGGCAUCUGUAGCUUUUGGUGCUGGCAUAGGGAUUGGAACAGCGUAUACUGAAUGCUCUCACAUAUUUAAUGGUUCUCAUCCGAAGUUGCCACCCUCAAAAGUCUCGGAGCCUCCUGCUUCCUCUCUGGAGGGACAGAACUGAUAAGAUAUCAACCUGGAUUUCGGCAAUCUCGUUCAGUUUGCG